CCAAGUGUUGUAGUUUUAUUAUAUAAUAUUUUAAAUAAUAUCGAUAUGCAUAUUUUCUGUUUAAAUUUGCUUAUAGGCAUUUAAAAUUUAUUUAACUAAAUUUGAACUGAAAUAUUACCAUUACUAGUCUAUUAAUAUUCUAAAAAGUGUAAAUGUUCUGUUCUAAGUUUACAAAAUGUUCCUCUUGGUAAAAAAAAAGCUAAACUACUGAUGAGUGUAUAUAAAGUUACAAAAAAUGGUACUUAUAGUUAUUUAAUGUAUAUCUACAUAAUGAUAAAUAAAUGCUGAUAAAAUACGAUUAUUAGUGAAGUUUGGUUAAGCAUUUGUUGCUACAAUUAUCGUGAUUCAAAUAUUA
Molecule: non-coding RNA, 355 nt
Organism: Cinara cedri
Lineage: Eukaryota; Metazoa; Arthropoda; Insecta; Hemiptera; Aphididae
Source: the annotation of a GenBank genome assembly